Long non-coding RNA from Homo sapiens (human), 1452 nucleotides. RefSeq lists it as uncharacterized. NCBI's taxonomy places the organism in Eukaryota, Metazoa, Chordata, Mammalia, Primates, Hominidae. The transcript has 2 exons. The record is from RefSeq and is a predicted model, not a curated record.
GACCUGAGUGACGGGAGGGAGGGAGCUUUAUGAACACUGAAGCCAGCAUGUGCCAGGCAGAGGGACCGGCAAGUGCAAAGGCCCCGAGUUGCAGGCAGAGCGGCCAGGCUGGGGCUGCAGCCACGAGGGGGCACUGUUGCCCCGCAGCUGCGUCAGAACUCAUCCACAAAGCUGGAAGGUGCUUCUGUCCCACCAGCUUGCAGAGCGGCAGGCGAGGAGAAUGCCUGUCUCACAAAGCUAUGGAAGCUAAACGAGGGGAACGUCAGUGGCCCCAUCCCACACCCGGGACCUGCUGGGGCCGCUCUGAUACCUCCUGCGAUGGGUGCUCACUGCCUCCAGCCAGGCUGCCCAGCCCUUGGCGGGAAAAGCUCUGCCUGGAGACAGGGCUUUGCAGUGGACCCAGUCUAUUUUGCAGAAGCCAUAAGGUGCUGUGGGGCAACGGGGUCUUCCAAAUGAAAAACGUUGAGAAGAACAGAUUUACCUUGGGAACCAUAAGAAAGAAGCAGUUUGGGGUUUCCAGAGCAGCCCAAAACCUAAAAGGGCACGUGAAAUUCCUCAGUGUUGACAUGUUGGCUCAAAACUUUUCUAAAUAUUGUGCCCAAGCCAAGCAAUGACCCACUUGAGCCUACAGCCCACAGGAUGGGAUGCUGGUUUUGGGUGUAGCUCAGUGACUCAGAGAAAGCAGAACCCUUAGCGCCCGUGUGCAGAACAGCCGGCAAGCAAGCGCGGCACGCCCCUCCACUUGGCACAUCUCAGGAAGUGGGAUGAUUGAUGGGGACGCACAGGCUUUCUGGAGGGCAGCCUGAAAAAAUGGGGUCAAAACUGGAGUACAGACACCCAUGAUCAGCAGUUCGCUCCUUGGUUGCAUGUCCAGGGAAGUCCACAAAUGGGCCCCCUUCUCUGCAGCAGAGUCUGUGGGGUGCGUACCUGGGAGCAGCCUGGACACGUGAUCCCAGGGAAAGUGUGGGGUGCCCCUCGGAGGACUCCGUAGCAGGCACCAGCAACAGACAAGAUGUGCGCCAACAGGAAGGAACACUUAACACUGCUGACUACACAAUCAGGGAGCCGAGUGGCAUCCGUAACACCAGGCUGCAAAGCAACUGCAAAUAUGUGCACCAAAGAGUGCACUGCAGCGAGUGGGGAGGAAGAGAAACUUCACAGUGGAGAGACCCAAUCAGCACGACCUCAGCCAGAUGGGCAACGCCAGCAUCACAAGGGAUGCCUCAUGUUGACAGCAGCUGCCCUCCAUUGGAUGUGCUGAUCAGGGCACUUUACCUCUGUGAUCUUCCUCCCCAGACCCACAAUCCCAGUCUAAUCAUGAGAAAAGUGUCAGACAAACCCCAGUAGCGGGCAUCCUACGAUGUAUCGGGCCAGUCCUCCUCAACUGUCAAAAUCGUCAAAACCAAGGCAAGAGCCAGGCAUGGCGGCGUGUACCUGUAGUCCCAGCACUUU